CCUACGGGAGGCAGCAGUGAGGAAUAUUGGUCAAUGGCCGUAAGGCUGAACCAGCCAAGUCGCGUGAAGGAAGAAGGAUCUAUGGUUUGUAAACUUCUUUUAUAGGGGAAUAAAGGUAUCCACGUGUGGAUAUUUGCAUGUACCCUAUGAAUAAGCAUCGGCUAACUCCGUGCCAGCAGCCGCGGUAUUACGGAGGAUGCGAGCGUUAUCCGGUUUUAUUGGGUUUAAAGGGUGCGUAGGGGGACUGUUAAGUCAGGGGUAAAGGCCCGGGGCACAAGCCCGGCGAGCCGUUGAAACUGGCUGGCUGGAAAUGGCAAGAGGUAUGCGGAAUGCGCGGUGUAGCGGUGAAAUGCUUAGAUAUUGCGCAGAACUCCGAUUGCGAAGGCAGCAUACCGGCGGCGGUCUGACGCUGAGGCACGAAAGCGUGGGUAUCGAACAGGAUUAGAUACCCUAGUAGUC
Molecule: ribosomal RNA, 459 nt
Filed under: uncultured bacterium
Lineage: Bacteria
Description: partial 16S ribosomal RNA
Rfam family: Bacterial small subunit ribosomal RNA
Source: RNAcentral